UACGUAGGGUGCAAGCGUUGUCCGGAAUUAUUGGGCGUAAAGAGCUCGUAGGCGGUCUGUCGCGUCUGCUGUGAAAACUCAGGGCUUAACCCUGAGCUUGCAGUGGGUACGGGCAGACUAGAGUGCGGUAGGGGAGACUGGAAUUCCUGGUGUAGCGGUGAAAUGCGCAGAUAUCAGGAGGAACACCGGUGGCGAAGGCGGGUCUCUGGGCCGAUACUGACGCUGAGAAGCGAAAGCGUGGGGAGCGAACAGG
Molecule: ribosomal RNA, 253 nt
Filed under: uncultured bacterium
Lineage: Bacteria
Description: partial 16S ribosomal RNA
Rfam family: Bacterial small subunit ribosomal RNA
Source: RNAcentral